RNAcentral lists this ribosomal RNA (253 nucleotides) under uncultured bacterium. RNAcentral's name for it is "partial 16S ribosomal RNA". It matches the Rfam family "Bacterial small subunit ribosomal RNA", at positions 524 to 776 of the family's 1533-position model. The record is from RNAcentral.
UACGAAGGGGACUAGCGUUGUUCGGAAUUACUGGGCGUAAAGCGCACGUAGGCGGGUUGUUAAGUCAGGGGUGAAAUCCUGGAGCUCAACUCCAGAACUGCCUUUGAUACUGGCAACCUAGAGACUGGAAGAGGUUAGUGGAAUUCCCAGUGUAGAGGUGAAAUUCGUAGAUAUUGGGAAGAACACCAGUGGCGAAGGCGGCUAACUGGUCCAGCACUGACGCUGAGGUGCGAAAGCGUGGGGAGCAAACAGG